CGUCUUCUCUUCUCUUGGUUUUGUUUCUUUUUUCAUCUAUAUAUGGAGUCUUUGAGAUUCAAACUUUUAGUCCUCAGGAGUUGAAUUUGUAGUAUGCAUUAAGAAACGUUACAUCCCAAUAACUCGAUCAAAUUGAGGUUUGUAUUUUGGUAAAUCAUUUACAUGGAUUGGUCGCCAGCUCCUGGGAUUCAAAACGGAAAUCUACAUCUCAAUCUUUAAGGCUCUGAUACCAUAGAACCAUUACAUUCGAAUAACUCGAGUUGUUGUGAGAGGUCCAAUAAGAUUCGUUUUUGAGCAUCUGUGUCAAAUUUUGCAAUAACCAGCCAGCUGUUUGGUUUUUGCUUAAACCCAUAGGCUGUUACAUAUU
RNAcentral lists this long non-coding RNA (367 nucleotides) under Linum usitatissimum (flax). RNAcentral's name for it is "long non-coding RNA (LUSI_LNC001299)". The record is from RNAcentral. Lineage: Eukaryota; Viridiplantae; Streptophyta; Magnoliopsida; Malpighiales; Linaceae.